This 688-nucleotide long non-coding RNA is filed under the name Rattus norvegicus (Norway rat). RNAcentral's name for it is "long non-coding RNA NONRATT008923". The record is from RNAcentral. Lineage: Eukaryota; Metazoa; Chordata; Mammalia; Rodentia; Muridae.
GUCCACACCAAGACCCCAGUGAAGAACUGCAGCACACUCAUUAACAGCACACGGCACAGACAGUGGAACAGCCGGAUGACGCUCACGAUUCGAGGAGGGAGCCAAGCUGUCCCCUGAGAAGGAAGAGAUCUUUAAAGAAAAAAAGAUACAGAAAAUCCUAAUGAGAUACGAUGAAAGGAAGAAGAAUCCCCCAAGUCAGCAGAGAAUAGACUUUUGGGAGAAGUCAACACAUCCACACUGCCUCUGCUGGGGGAUGGAAUGAGCUAGCCAGCCUCUCCCAGAUGUUGACUGUGGACACCAGGCAACCACUGGAAUCUUGGUUUCCGGGGAAUGAGGUUUGCUGUUGAUGGCGACAUAAAAUGUUUUAGGAGAGAACAUUCGUAAGCAAGACAAGGUGGUGCAAUCCUACCAUCUGGGAAGAGACUGUGGGAUGAGGAAGGUGGAUCUCAGCUCUUUAGGGAGUACAGGGUCAGCCUGGGUUAACUAAGAUCCUAUCUCAAAAGAAUAAAGAGUGCUUGUCUAACCACCCCUCCCCUGCCCCCCACCAAGGUUUCUCUGUGUAGCCUUGACUGUCUUGGAACUCAGAGAUUUGCCUGCCUCUGCCUCCUAAGUGUUGGGAUUAAAGGAGCCUAUCACCAACACUCGGCUAAAUCUUUAGUGUUUUUCCAUUAAAGAAUUGGAAAUUUCU